This 2008-nucleotide long non-coding RNA is filed under the name Mus musculus (house mouse). Its description in RNAcentral is "long non-coding RNA chrX:169058648-169060656". The record is from RNAcentral. Lineage: Eukaryota; Metazoa; Chordata; Mammalia; Rodentia; Muridae.
GUGUUUGUUUGUGUGUACUGAGCAGUUUUCUCAUAUUAUGAAAUUGAAGGCACUCAGUAUACGAUGUCUUUAUAUUGCUGGGAUAUCCAUGCAAUCUCCAAAUUUGGUUAUCAUCUCAACCAUCAUCAGAAAAAGUAAUGGAUGCCUGUUGUGAGGUGCUACUUUCUAUAAACCUGCUUGCCUCUCUGCUCUUGGCUGCCUCUGUUCAUUGAACAGCAAUUCCUUGUUGUAGUUUUUAUUUUGUUUUAUUUAUUUAUUCACUUUAUAUCCCAACCACAGCCCCUUCCUCCUCUCUCCCAAGUCUCACUCUUCCAUCUCUUCUUAUAUCCCCUCCCCCCCUCAGAGAAGCAGACUCCCCUACCCCUUCCCACAGAUCAACCUGCUCUGACACAUCAAGUCUCAUCAGGACUUAGUGCAUCUUCUCCUAUUAAGGCCAGACUAGGCAUGCCAGCUGGGGAAAGGGAUCCAAAGGCAGGCAACAGAGGUCAAGUUAGCAAUUGUUUUAGCUCUCACUUAACUAUCUAAAAGAGAAUACUAUUAUUUCAAUUUGAACAACAGCAAGCCUGUUGCAUGGGGACCAUUGGAUUACUUCUGAAACAUUCCCUAGGACAAUUAGCCAAUACUAGAGAUGGUUCUAUAAUAUUUGGGUGAAGUUUUAUGCUUAAGAAAUCUCUAUGGCUGCUAACUAUAACAUGGGGUGACCAUGAUUGUGGAAAGGUCUUUGUUUCUUUUCUCUGUUACAGAAAAACAAACUUUUAUUAAGAACAAUAAUUAAAGGACCCUUGCAGAAUUAUGAGGAGAAUUGUUAGCCAAAUGUUAUAUAGUUCUUGCACCAAUACUUAUAAGAUAUCAUGCUUUAAGAACUUGGUUGCCAUUUUUGUCAUUAAACCAUUCUAUUUUCCCUGAUCCUAGUCACGUACAAACAUGCACACAUCCUUUGCUGCUUAAUAGGCUACCAGAAUGAGUUCUUAAUUUUUGACUCAGAAGCCAGUGAUAAGAACUUUGAACAAUGAACACAUAUAGUUCUAUUUUCAGUGUUUUGUUGAAUAUAAUUCCAUCAUAUUUCAGUUAAGAGGUUGAUAGCUCACAAAGUCCACUCUCAAGAUUAAAACUAUUCAAACAUCCCUUAGGGUGUUCAUUGUGCUAGCAGAACAAAAUAUUUUGAUCUGUACAAUGCCAUUCCUAUAACUGAUUCCUUGGCUACUCUGUUGAAUUCCAUAAUAGGUCCUCCACAUUCACUUCUAAAGUGGCCAAUAAGCUCAUAUAAACAUACAACUCACCAAGAGAACAUAUAAACAUUCACAAAAUCAAAUAAUUAUUCAUCAGGGAAAUAUAAAUGAAAAUUACAAGAAAUACUAGUUUGUAACCACUAGGCUGGUGACAAUGAAAAAGAUAAUAAAAAGUAGUGGCUAGGGUUUGAAGAAAUUAGAACCCUCCUAAGCUGCUGCUAAGAAUUUCAAUGAGGCAGCCAGUUUGGAAAAUAGUCUCUCAGUUCCACAAUAACUUAAGCAUAGAGUGACUAUAUGGGAUUGUGUAUGUCCUAGGGACAUGUACAAGAGAAAUAUGUGUAUGAAUAUAAAUACAUUACUGAUAGCAGUAAAAAAGAAAACAGCUUAAGUCUCCAUCAACCUAUGAAUAGAAAAAGUAUAGUUUAAUCCCAAAAGAGAACAUUAUUCAUCAAUAAGAGAGUUGAAGUACUAAUAUAUUCUAUGACAUAGAUUAGCCUUGAAAAUACUAUGCUAAGUGAAAGAAGUCCAUUAUGAAAAGUCACAUGAUAUAAAAUUCUGUUUUGAGAAUACGUCCAUAGCAAACAAACUGAUACAAGGUGCUUAGAGUUUCUUUUCAAGUUGAAAAAUAUAUUCUGAAAUUUGUUGUUGUGAAGGUUGUACAAUCCUGAAUAUAUAAGCAACCAGUGAACUGACACUUGGAAUGUGUGAAUUUUAUAUAGGUGACUUAUAUAUCAAUAUAAUCAUUGUAAAAUAAGGUCAAAUAUUUUGUAAUUUUUUGU